Molecule: ribosomal RNA, 237 nt
Filed under: uncultured bacterium
Lineage: Bacteria
Description: partial 16S ribosomal RNA
Rfam family: Bacterial small subunit ribosomal RNA
Source: RNAcentral
UUCCUACGGGGGGCAGCAGUAGGGAAUCUUCCACAAUGGACGAAAGUCUGAUGGAGCAACGCCGCGUGAGUGAAGAAGGGUUUCGGCUCGUAAAGCUCUGUUGGUAGGGAAGAAAGAUAGAGGUAGUAACUGGCCUUUAUUUGACGGUAAUUACUUAGAAAGUCACGGCUAACUACGUGCCAGCAGCCGCGGUAAUACGGAGGUGGCAAGCGUUGUCCGGAAUUAUUUGGCGUAAAG